AUUGAACGCUGGCGGCAGGCCUAACACAUGCAAGUCGAGCGGAGCGGCGGACGGGGGAGUAAUGCCUGGGAAUCUGCAUGGUAGUGGGGGAUACAGUCGGGAAAGGGGCCAUAUUACCGCAUACUUUAAGUGCGCCUUAGGUUGGAUUAGCUAGUUGGUGGGGUAAGGGCUUACCAAGGCGACGAGCCGUACGUGGUCUGAGGGGAUGACCAGUAACACUGGAACUGAGACACGGUCCAGAAUCCUACGGGAGGCAGCAGUGGGGAAUAUUGGACAAUGGGCGAAAGCCUGAUCCAGCCAUGCCGCGUGUGUGAAGAAGGUCUUCGGAUUGUAAAGCACUUUAAGUUGGGAGGCGGUAACAACAGAAUAAGCACCGGCUAACUUCGUGCCAGCAGCCGCGGUAAUAC
Molecule: ribosomal RNA, 407 nt
Filed under: uncultured bacterium
Lineage: Bacteria
Description: partial 16S ribosomal RNA
Rfam family: Bacterial small subunit ribosomal RNA
Source: RNAcentral